RNAcentral lists this unclassified non-coding RNA (204 nucleotides) under fungal sp. RNAcentral describes it as "partial internal transcribed spacer region". The stretch from base 1 to 46 matches the Rfam family "Eukaryotic small subunit ribosomal RNA", at positions 1786 to 1831 of the family's 1831-position model. The record is from RNAcentral. Lineage: Eukaryota; Fungi.
AAGUCGUAACAAGGUUUCCGUAGGUGAACCUGCGGAAGGAUCAUUAACAAAAAGAAAUGAAAGAGGAAGAGAGAGAAGAUAAUAUAAUUUAUAUAUUAUUCUCUCUCUCCUCUUUUCGACACCUUGUGCACCUUUAUGAUUAUAGUUUGUUUUUAUAUAUAAUAUAAUUUAAAACAACUUUUAACAAUGGAUCUCUUGGCUCUU